UUCUCUAUACUUGGAUCCCAAAUUAUAAAUGUUUUUAAAAACCUUUUGCUUUGCAUUAGAUAUUACCCACCUCGGAAGCUUUUGUAGUUUGGAAAACCAGUCUGAAAACUUUCUCCUUCCCUUUUUGGUCAUGAUUUCACCUUUUUGUCACUUUUCAAGACAAUUUUUUUUAAUGAAUCUUUAUUUAUACUUCACUUAACAACACCAUCGGGGUACCAAGGACCAUGAUAUUAAAAAAAUAUAAAUGAGGGGAAAAAAAGCAAGUUAAGAGCAAAAAUGAAACAGAAUAGCAUAACAUUAAACUUCCACCUCUGCGUUUAUUUUUUUUAAGUCCUGCCUAUGGAUGUGACAUUUUUAUGAGUUGCAGAUUAUUUUAGGAGGAAAUAUCAAAACAACAAAAAUAGAGUUCUUUGAAUGUUUUUUUUUUCUAGCCAAACCAUUUCAUAUUUCAAAAUUGCAGAGAAAUGUUUGGUUUUGCAACACUAUUGUCUACGAAAUUAAAGUCUUACUUUAGAAUUUUCGGGAUUUUUUUGUUUUUCGAUUCAGUCUAUAUCCCCUACAUUACCCAGAAUGCUUUUCAACUCGUCAAAGCAUUGUAGUGCGCAUGCGUGUCUAUUUUAUCAGGCGGUGAAAAUUCGCAGAGAAUCAUGGGAUGCGAACUAUGGACGCACGUGCAGGAACAAUUCAAGACGUUCCUGAGACCAGAGAUGAGCUGACGUUCUUGUUUGGAUCGUUGAGACUUCAGGUGAUCUUCACACGACCUUCAGGUCCCAAACUGCUUUGACUUUUGUGUGUUUUCUAAUAAAAUUGUUUUGAAGAAGA
Long non-coding RNA from Oryzias melastigma (Indian medaka), 822 nucleotides. RefSeq lists it as uncharacterized. The transcript has 3 exons. NCBI's taxonomy places the organism in Eukaryota, Metazoa, Chordata, Actinopteri, Beloniformes, Adrianichthyidae. The record is from RefSeq and is a predicted model, not a curated record.